RNAcentral lists this ribosomal RNA (844 nucleotides) under uncultured Hyphomicrobium sp. RNAcentral's name for it is "bacterial SSU rRNA". It matches the Rfam family "Bacterial small subunit ribosomal RNA", at positions 54 to 934 of the family's 1533-position model. Lineage: Bacteria; Pseudomonadati; Pseudomonadota; Alphaproteobacteria; Hyphomicrobiales; Hyphomicrobiaceae. The record is from RNAcentral.
AAUGARAGUCGGAGCGGGCGUAGCAAUACGUCRGCGGCAGACGGGUGAGUAACGCGUGGGAACGUASCUUUUGGUUCGGAACAACACAGGGAAACUUGUGCUAAUACCGGAUAAGCCCUUACGGGGAAAGAUUUAUCGCCGAAAGAUCGGCCCGCGUCUGAUUAGCUAGUUGGUGAGGUAACGGCUCACCAAGGCGACGAUCAGUAGCUGGUCUGAGAGGAUGAUCAGCCACAUUGGGACUGAGACACGGCCCAAACUCCUACGGGAGGCAGCAGUGGGGAAUAUUGGACAAUGGGCGCAAGCCUGAUCCAGCCAUGCCGCGUGAGUGAUGAAGGCCCUAGGGUUGUAAAGCUCUUUUGUGCGGGAAGAUAAUGACUGUACCGCAAGAAUAAGCCCCGGCUAACUUCGUGCCAGCAGCCGCGGUAAUACGAAGGGGGCUAGCGUUGCUCGGAAUCACUGGGCGUAAAGGGUGCGUAGGCGGGUCUUUAAGUCAGGGGUGAAAUCCUGGAGCUCAACUCCAGAACUGCCUUUGAUACUGAGGAUCUUGAGUUCGGGAGAGGUGAGUGGAACUGCGAGUGUAGAGGUGAAAUUCGUAGAUAUUCGCAAGAACACCAGUGGCGAAGGCGGCUCACUGGCCCGAUACUGACGCUGAKGCACGAAAGCGUGGGGAGCAAACAGGAUUAGAUACCCUGGUAGUCCACGCCCUAAACGAUGCGAACUGGGAUGUUGGGCUCAACUUGCAGCUCAGUAUCGAAGCUAACGCGUUAAGUUCGCCCGCCCUGGGGAGUACGGUCGCAAGACUGAAACUCAAAGGGAAAUUGACGGGGGCCCCGCACAAGCGGGU